Molecule: transfer RNA, 72 nt
Filed under: Neolewinella aurantiaca
Lineage: Bacteria; Pseudomonadati; Bacteroidota; Saprospiria; Saprospirales; Lewinellaceae
Rfam family: tRNA
About the family: Transfer RNA (tRNA) molecules are approximately 80 nucleotides in length.
Source: Rfam by way of RNAcentral
GCCCCCAUAGUUAAAGGGAUAUAACGUUGGUUUCCUAAACCGAAAGUCCAAGUUCGAGUCUUGGUGGGGGCA